CGUAAGCCUGACGGAGCAAGACCGCGUGCGGGAUGACGGCCUAAUGGUUGUAAACCGCUUUUCUCUGGGAAGAUGAUGACGGUACCAGAGGAAUCAGCCUCGGCUAACUCCGUGCCAGCAGCCGCGGUAAUACGGAGGAGGCAAGCGUUAUCCGGAAUUAUUGGGCGUAAAGCGUCCGUAGGUGGUUAUUCAAGUCUGCUGUCAAAGCGUGGGGCUUAACUCCAUAGAGGCAGUGGAAACUGGAUGACUUGAGUGCGGUAGGGGUCGAGGGAAUUCCCAGUGUAGCGGUGAAAUGCGUAGAUAUUGGGAAGAACACCGGUGGCGAAAGCGCUCUACUGGGUCGCACCUGACCCUCAGGGACGAAAGCUAAGGUAGCG
Molecule: ribosomal RNA, 377 nt
Filed under: uncultured cyanobacterium
Lineage: Bacteria; Bacillati; Cyanobacteriota
Description: bacterial SSU rRNA
Rfam family: Bacterial small subunit ribosomal RNA
Source: RNAcentral